UUUAGACACUCAACUAAACUACAAGAAUUUAUGUACAUAAAUAUUCUCAAAAGUGCAUUUGAAAAGAGACUUAAAAAAUUUCAAAGCACAACAUACCCAUUAUCUAGAUUCUAGAUCUUCAUUCAUUCAGUGUGUCUGUUCUUCCCUUUUAUUGCAAGCACAAUCAGUUCUCCCAUCAACCAAUUUUCGCGCUUCACGUCCAUGCCUAACAAUGGUUUCUCAGAUAGGCGACUUCAAAACCCCCCGAAAAUUUGACAAUGGAGCUUGAAAAGAAUGGCAAAAAAAAUUUUGG
RNAcentral lists this unclassified non-coding RNA (292 nucleotides) under Hevea brasiliensis (rubber tree). The record is from RNAcentral. Lineage: Eukaryota; Viridiplantae; Streptophyta; Magnoliopsida; Malpighiales; Euphorbiaceae.